Molecule: microRNA precursor, 117 nt
Filed under: Ornithorhynchus anatinus (platypus)
Lineage: Eukaryota; Metazoa; Chordata; Mammalia; Monotremata; Ornithorhynchidae
Description: microRNA oan-mir-222b precursor (oan-mir-222b-1)
Gene: oan-mir-222b-1
Rfam family: mir-221 microRNA precursor family (bases 17-103)
Source: miRBase by way of RNAcentral
CAAAAGAGAGUGGAUGCUAAUCGUCUGCUCAGUAGUUGGUGUAGGAUCUGUCUGACAUGAUUAAGAACAGCUACAUCUGAUUACUGGGUCACCGAUAGCAUCAACAAACUUCUGCCG